UGGGGAAUAUUGGGCAAUGGAGGCAACUCUGACCCAGCAAUGCCGCGUGAGUGAAGAAGGUCUUCGGAUUGUAAAGCUCUGUGGAGAGGGACGAAAAAAAUGACUGUACCUCUAAAGCAAGCCACGGCAAACUACGUGCCAGCAGCCGCGGUAAUACGUAGGUGGCGAGCGUUGUCCGGAAUGACUGGGCGUAAAGGGUGCGUAGGCGGUUUGUCAAGUUGGAAGCGUAAUCCCGGGGCUUAACUCCGGUGCUACUUCCAAAACUGAUGAACUUGAGUGUGGGAGAGGUAAGUGGAAUUCCUGGUGUAGCGGUGAAAUGCGUAGAUAUCAGGAGGAACAUCGGUGGCGAAAGCGCUUUACUGGACCAUUAUUGACGCUGAGGAACGAAAGCCAGGGGAGCAAAUG
This 405-nucleotide ribosomal RNA is filed under the name uncultured bacterium. RNAcentral's name for it is "bacterial SSU rRNA". It matches the Rfam family "Bacterial small subunit ribosomal RNA", at positions 355 to 774 of the family's 1533-position model. The record is from RNAcentral.